GACUAAUCCAGUGGCCUAGUGGUUAGAGCAUCUACCUCGGAUGCAGGAGGCCAUGGGUUUGAUCCCCAGCCGAGUCA
Potamilus streckersoni is the source of this 77-nucleotide non-coding RNA. NCBI's taxonomy places the organism in Eukaryota, Metazoa, Mollusca, Bivalvia, Unionida, Unionidae. The record is from the annotation of a GenBank genome assembly.